This 918-nucleotide ribosomal RNA is filed under the name uncultured bacterium. RNAcentral describes it as "bacterial SSU rRNA". It matches the Rfam family "Bacterial small subunit ribosomal RNA", at positions 8 to 922 of the family's 1533-position model. The record is from RNAcentral.
AGAGUUUGAUCAUGGCUCAGAUUGAACGCUGGCGGCAUGCCUUACACAUGCAAGUCGAACGGCAGCACGGGAGCAAUCCUGGUGGCGAGUGGCGAACGGGUGAGUAAUAUAUCGGAACGUGCCCAGUCGUGGGGGAUAACGCAGCGAAAGCUGUGCUAAUACCGCAUACGAUCUACGGAUGAAAGCGGGGGAUCGCAAGACCUCGCGCGAUUGGAGCGGCCGAUAUCAGAUUAGGUUGUUGGUGGGGUAAAAGCCCACCAAGCCGACGAUCUGUAGCUGGUCUGAGAGGACGACCAGCCACACUGGAACUGAGACACGGUCCAGACUCCUACGGGAGGCAGCAGUGGGGAAUUUUGGACAAUGGGCGCAAGCCUGAUCCAGCAAUGCCGCGUGCAGGAUGAAGGCCUUCGGGUUGUAAACUGCUUUUGUACGGAACGAAACGGUCUGCUCUAAUACAGUGGGCUAAUGACGGUACCGUAAGAAUAAGCACCGGCUAACUACGUGCCAGCAGCCGCGGUAAUACGUAGGGUGCGAGCGUUAAUCGGAAUUACUGGGCGUAAAGCGUGCGCAGGCGGUUAUAUAAGACAGAUGUGAAAUCCCCGGGCUCAACCUGGGACCUGCAUUUGUGACUGUAUAGCUAGAGUGCGGCAGAGGGGGAUGGAAUUCCGCGUGUAGCAGUGAAAUGCGUAGAUAUGCGGAGGAACACCGAUGGCGAAGGCAAUCCCCUGGGCCUGCACUGACGCUCAUGCACGAAAGCGUGGGGAGCAAACAGGAUUAGAUACCCUGGUAGUCCACGCCCUAAACGAUGUCAACUGGUUGUUGGGUCUUCACUGACUCAGUAACGAAGCUAACGCGUGAAGUUGACCGCCUGGGGAGUACGGCCGCAAGGUUGAAACUCAAAGGAAUUGACGGGGACCC